Molecule: transfer RNA, 82 nt
Filed under: Acholeplasmataceae bacterium
Lineage: Bacteria; Bacillati; Mycoplasmatota; Mollicutes; Acholeplasmatales; Acholeplasmataceae
Also listed under: 1 other name
Description: tRNA-Leu
Rfam family: tRNA
About the family: Transfer RNA (tRNA) molecules are approximately 80 nucleotides in length. Their secondary structure includes four short double-helical elements and three loops (D, anti-codon, and T loops).
Source: RNAcentral
GCCCGAGUGUCGGAAUUGGUAGACGAACUUGACUCAAAAUCAAGCGCUUAACAGCAUGCCGGUUCGAGCCCGGCCUCGGGUA